This 468-nucleotide ribosomal RNA is filed under the name uncultured bacterium. RNAcentral describes it as "partial 16S ribosomal RNA". It matches the Rfam family "Bacterial small subunit ribosomal RNA", at positions 28 to 507 of the family's 1533-position model. The record is from RNAcentral.
GACGAACGCUGGCGGCGUGCUUAACACAUGCAAGUCGAACGGAAAGGCCCUGCUUUUGUGGGGUGCUCGAGUGGCGACCGGGUGAGUAACACGUGAGUAACCUGCCCUUGACUUUGGGAUAACUUCAGGAAACUGGGGCUAAUACCGGAUAGGAGCUCCUGCUGCAUGGUGGGGGUUGGAAAGUUUCGGCGGUUGGGGAUGGACUCGCGGCUUAUCAGCUUGUUGGUGGGGUAGUGGCUUACCAAGGCUUUGACGGGUAGCCGGCCUGAGAGGGUAACCGGCCACAUUGGGACUGAGAUACGGCCCAGACUCCUACGGGAGGCAGCAGUGGGGAAUAUUGCACAAUGGGCGGAAGCCUGAUGCAGCAACGCCGCGUGCGGGAUGACGGCCUUCGGGUUGUAAACCGCUUUCGCCUGUGACGAAGCGUGAGUGACGGUAAUGGGUAAAGAAGCACCGGCUAACUACGUG